This 258-nucleotide ribosomal RNA is filed under the name uncultured soil bacterium. Its description in RNAcentral is "partial 16S ribosomal RNA". It matches the Rfam family "Bacterial small subunit ribosomal RNA", at positions 26 to 284 of the family's 1533-position model. The record is from RNAcentral.
AGGACGAACGCUGGCGGCGUGCUUAACACAUGCAAGUCGAGCGGAAAGGCCACUUCGGUGGUACUCGAGCGGCGAACGGGUGAGUAACACGUGAGUAAUCUGCCCUCCACUUUGGGAUAGCCACCGGAAACGGUGAUUAAUACCGGAUAUGACCUCGCAUCGCAUGAUGUGUGGUGGAAAGUUUUUCGGUGGGGGAUGGUGCUCGCGGCCUAUCAGCUUGAUGGUGGGGUAAUGGGCCUACCAUGGCUUCGGACGGGU